UCUCUGGUGGUUCAGUGGCUAAGACUCUGCACUUCCAGUGCAGGGGGCCCAGGUUCAAUCCCUGGUCAGGGAA
RNAcentral lists this transfer RNA (73 nucleotides) under Ovis aries (sheep). It matches the Rfam family "tRNA". Rfam says of the family: Transfer RNA (tRNA) molecules are approximately 80 nucleotides in length. Their secondary structure includes four short double-helical elements and three loops (D, anti-codon, and T loops). The record is from Rfam by way of RNAcentral. Lineage: Eukaryota; Metazoa; Chordata; Mammalia; Artiodactyla; Bovidae.